CCCGCCGCCCUCGACGCCGGCCAGAUCCGCCGCCACCUCUGCUCGAGCUGCUCCCAUCGACCACGCCGCUACUCGCGUGCUUCUUCUCUCCCGCGACCCCGCCAUUGAAGGUCUCGCAAGGCUGCACGCACCUCGGACCGCGUGUGCCUAGUUCUUCCCGGGACGCUGCCCCGACCCUACUACCCACGCCAUCAGGGGAGCUCGUCAAGAAGAUCGCAGGUCGAGUGGGAGGGAUCCAGUUGCGACGACACCGAAUCACUAGCAAGGCAGCUGCCUAGAAUAA
Triticum dicoccoides is the source of this 283-nucleotide long non-coding RNA. RefSeq lists it as uncharacterized. The record is from RefSeq and is a predicted model, not a curated record. The transcript is spliced from 3 exons. NCBI's taxonomy places the organism in Eukaryota, Viridiplantae, Streptophyta, Magnoliopsida, Poales, Poaceae.